GAUGAACGCUGGCGGCGUGCUUAACACAUGCAAGUCGAACGGUGAAGCAGAGCUUGCUCUUUGGAUCAGUGGCGAACGGGUGAGUAACACGUGAGCAACCUGCCCCUGACACUGGGAUAAGCGCUGGAAACGGCGCCUAGUACUGGAUAUGAGCUGCGACCGCAUGGUCAGCAGUUGGAAAGAUUUUUCGGUCUGGGAUGGGCUCACGGCCUAUCAGCUUGUUGGUGAGGUAAUGGCUCACCAAGGCGUCGACGGGUAGCCGGCCUGAGAGGGUGACCGGCCACACUGGGACUGAGACACGGCCCAGACUCCUACGGGAGGCAGCAGUGGGGAAUAUUGCACAAUGGGCGAAAGCCUGAUGCAGCAACGCCGCGUGAGGGAUGACGGCCCUCGGGUUGUAAACCUCUUUUAGCAGGGAAGAAGCGAAAGUGACGGUACCUGCAGAAAAAGCGCCGGCUAACUACGUG
Molecule: ribosomal RNA, 467 nt
Filed under: uncultured bacterium
Lineage: Bacteria
Description: partial 16S ribosomal RNA
Rfam family: Bacterial small subunit ribosomal RNA
Source: RNAcentral